This 726-nucleotide ribosomal RNA is filed under the name Streptococcus mutans. RNAcentral's name for it is "bacterial SSU rRNA". It matches the Rfam family "Bacterial small subunit ribosomal RNA", at positions 371 to 1087 of the family's 1533-position model. The record is from RNAcentral. Lineage: Bacteria; Bacillati; Bacillota; Bacilli; Lactobacillales; Streptococcaceae.
AUGGACGAAAGUCUGACCGAGCAACGCCGCGUGAGUGAAGAAGGUUUUCGGAUCGUAAAGCUCUGUUGUAAGUCAAGAACGUGUGUGAGAGUGGAAAGUUCACACAGUGACGGUAGCUUACCAGAAAGGGACGGCUAACUACGUGCCAGCAGCCGCGGUAAUACGUAGGUCCCGAGCGUUGUCCGGAUUUAUUGGGCGUAAAGGGAGCGCAGGCGGUCAGGAAAGUCUGGAGUAAAAGGCUAUGGCUCAACCAUAGUGUGCUCUGGAAACUGUCUGACUUGAGUGCAGAAGGGGAGAGUGGAAUUCCAUGUGUAGCGGUGAAAUGCGUAGAUAUAUGGAGGAACACCAGUGGCGAAAGCGGCUCUCUGGUCUGUCACUGACGCUGAGGCUCGAAAGCGUGGGUAGCGAACAGGAUUAGAUACCCUGGUAGUCCACGCCGUAAACGAUGAGUGCUAGGUGUUAGGCCCUUUCCGGGGCUUAGUGCCGGAGCUAACGCAAUAAGCACUCCGCCUGGGGAGUACGACCGCAAGGUUGAAACUCAAAGGAAUUGACGGGGGCCCGCACAAGCGGUGGAGCAUGUGGUUUAAUUCGAAGCAACGCGAAGAACCUUACCAGGUCUUGACAUCCCGAUGCUAUUCUUAGAGAUAGGAAGUUACUUCGGUACAUCGGAGACAGGUGGUGCAUGGUUGUCGUCAGCUCGUGUCGUGAGAUGUUGGGGUUAAGUCC